Molecule: ribosomal RNA, 450 nt
Filed under: uncultured bacterium
Lineage: Bacteria
Description: partial 16S ribosomal RNA
Rfam family: Bacterial small subunit ribosomal RNA
Source: RNAcentral
GUGGGGAAUAUUGGACAAUGGGCGAAAGCCUGAUCCAGCCAUGCCGCGUGUGUGAAGAAGGUCUUCGGAUUGUAAAGCACUUUAAGUUGGGAGGAAGGGCAGUAAGUUAAUACCUUGCUGUUUUGACGUUACCGACAGAAUAAGCACCGGCUAACUUCGUGCCAGCAGCCGCGGUAAUACGAAGGGUGCAAGCGUUAAUCGGAAUUACUGGGCGUCAAGCGCGCGUAGGUGGGUUUGUAAGUUGGAGGUGAAAUCCCCGGGCUCAACCUGGGAACUGCCUCCAAAACUGCAUGACUAGAGUACGGUAGAGGGUAGUGGAAUUUCCUGUGUAGCGGUGAAAAGCGUAGAUAUAGGAAGGAACACCAGUGGCGAAGGCGACUACCUGGACUGAUACUGACACUGAGGUGCGAAAGCGUGGGGAGCAAACAGGAUUAGAAACCCCUGUAGUCC